AUGCGUCAGCCGCCUGGUUUUGUUGAUCCGACACGACCUCAGCAUCUCUGUCAUUUGGUUAAGGCACUGUAUGGACUCAAACAGGCUCCUCGUGCAUGGCAUGCUUUCCUUGGAUCUGUUCUUCGGGCUCUUGGGUUUACUCCCUCCACUGCUGAUACGUCACUGUUUCUCCUCCAGCGCCCUGAGGUUACGAUGUAUGUCUUGGUUUAUGUUGAUGAUAUCAUCCUUGUCAGUUCCUCGGCUGCUGCUGCUGAUCGCCUUGUGAUUGCUCUCCGUGAUGAUUUUGCUGUCAAGGAUUUGGGUGCUCUUCACUUUUUCCUUGGUCUUGAGGUUUCACGGUCUUCUGCUGGUUUGACUCUCACUCAGAAGAAGUACUCCUUGGACUUGUUGCGUCGUGCUGGAAUGCUCAAAUGCAAACCUGUUUCCACUCCGAUGUCUGCUACUGAUCGGUUGUUUGCUCUUGAUGGUGACUCUCUCUCGUCUGAUGAUGCUACUGAGUAUCGCAGUAUCGUUGGUGGUCUGCAAUAUCUCACUAUUACCAGGCUUGAUAUCUCCUAUGCAGUUAACCAUGUCUGUCAAUUUUUGCAUGCACCCAGGACGUCUCACUAG
RNAcentral lists this ribosomal RNA (609 nucleotides) under Triticum aestivum (bread wheat). RNAcentral describes it as "partial small subunit ribosomal RNA". The record is from RNAcentral. Lineage: Eukaryota; Viridiplantae; Streptophyta; Magnoliopsida; Poales; Poaceae.